This 253-nucleotide ribosomal RNA is filed under the name uncultured bacterium. Its description in RNAcentral is "partial 16S ribosomal RNA". It matches the Rfam family "Bacterial small subunit ribosomal RNA", at positions 524 to 776 of the family's 1533-position model. The record is from RNAcentral.
UACAGAGGGGGCAAGCGUUGUUCGGAAUUACUGGGCGUAAAGGGCGCGUAGGUGGCCUUCUAAGUUGAACGUGAAAUCCCUGGGCUCAACCCAGGAACUGCGUCCAAGACUGGGAGGCUUGAAUCCGGGAGGGGGAUGCGGAAUUCCAGGUGUAGCGGUGAAAUGCGUAGAUAUCUGGAGGAACACCGGUGGCGAAGGCGGCAUCCUGGACCGGCAUUGACACUGAGGCGCGAAAGCCAGGGGAGCAAACGGG